GGCCCCGUGGUGUAGCGGUCCAACAUGCCUCCCUGUCACGGAGGAGAUCGGCGGUUCGAAUCCGCUCGGGGUCG
This 74-nucleotide transfer RNA is filed under the name Chloroflexota bacterium. RNAcentral describes it as "Chloroflexi bacterium tRNA-Asp". It matches the Rfam family "tRNA". From Rfam's summary of the family: Transfer RNA (tRNA) molecules are approximately 80 nucleotides in length. Their secondary structure includes four short double-helical elements and three loops (D, anti-codon, and T loops). Further hydrogen bonds mediate the characteristic L-shaped molecular structure. tRNAs have two regions of fundamental functional importance: the anti-codon, which is responsible for specific mRNA codon recognition, and the 3' end, to which the tRNAs corresponding amino acid is attached (by aminoacyl-tRNA synthetases). tRNAs cope with the degeneracy of the genetic code in two manners: having more than one tRNA (with a specific anti-codon) for a particular amino acid; and 'wobble' base-pairing, i.e. permitting non-standard base-pairing at the 3rd anti-codon position. The record is from RNAcentral. RNAcentral also lists the same sequence under 3 other names. Lineage: Bacteria; Bacillati; Chloroflexota.